GGACUGUAGCUCAGUGGUAGAGCGCUUGCCUAGCAUGUGUGAGGCCCUGGGUUUGAUCCUCAGCACCA
Molecule: transfer RNA, 68 nt
Filed under: Marmota monax (woodchuck)
Lineage: Eukaryota; Metazoa; Chordata; Mammalia; Rodentia; Sciuridae
Description: tRNA.Ala
Rfam family: tRNA (bases 5-65)
About the family: Transfer RNA (tRNA) molecules are approximately 80 nucleotides in length. Their secondary structure includes four short double-helical elements and three loops (D, anti-codon, and T loops).
Source: RNAcentral